UAACGAGACGAAACCCUUGUCUUCAGUUGCCAGCGGGUAAAGCCGGGGACUCUGGAGAGACUGCCGGUGUUAAACCGGAGGAAGGUGGGGAUGACGUCAAGUCCUCAUGGCCCUUAUGCCCAGGGCUGCACACGUGCUACAAUGGCGUAUACAAAGCGACGCGAGACCGCAAGGUGGAGCAAAUCGCAUAAAGUACGCCCCAGUUCGGAUUGUGGUCUGCAACUCGACCACAUGAAGUUGGAAUCGCUAGUAAUCGCGCAUCAGCUACGGCGCGGUGAAUGUGUUCCUGAGCCUU
This 295-nucleotide ribosomal RNA is filed under the name uncultured Phycisphaera sp. RNAcentral's name for it is "partial 16S ribosomal RNA". It matches the Rfam family "Bacterial small subunit ribosomal RNA", at positions 1090 to 1382 of the family's 1533-position model. The record is from RNAcentral. Lineage: Bacteria; Pseudomonadati; Planctomycetota; Phycisphaerae; Phycisphaerales; Phycisphaeraceae.